RNAcentral lists this ribosomal RNA (502 nucleotides) under uncultured bacterium. RNAcentral's name for it is "partial 16S ribosomal RNA". It matches the Rfam family "Bacterial small subunit ribosomal RNA", at positions 30 to 523 of the family's 1533-position model. The record is from RNAcentral.
AUUGAACGCUGGCGGCAGGCUUAACACAUGCAAGUCGAGCGGGGUGAUGGUGCUUGCACUAUCACUUAGCGGCGGACGGGUGAGUAAUGCUUAGGAAUCUGCCUAUUAGUGGGGGACAACAUCUCGAAAGGGAUGCUAAUACCGCAUACGUCCUACGGGAGAAAGCAGGGGAUCACUUGUGACCUUGCGCUAAUAGAUGAGCCUAAGUCGGAUUAGCUAGUUGGUGGGGUAAAAGCCUACCAAGGCGACGAUCUGUAGCGGGUCUGAGAGGAUGAUCCGCCACACUGGGACUGAGACACGGCCCAGACUCCUACGGGAGGCAGCAGUGGGGAAUAUUGGACAAUGGGGGAACCCUGAUCCAGCCAUGCCGCGUGUGUGAAGAAGGCCUUAUGGUUGUAAAGCACUUUAAGCGAGGAGGAGGCUCUUUUGGUUAAUACCCAAGAUGAGUGGACGUUACUCGCAGAAUAAGCACCGGCUAACUCUGUGCCAGCCGCCGCAGUAA